GAUGAACGCUGGCGGCAUGCCUAACACAUGCAAGUCGGACGGGAAGUGGUGUUUUCCGUGCCGGACGGGUGAGUAACGCGUAAGAACCUGCCUUUGGGUGGGGAACAACAGCUGGAAACGGCUGCUAAUACCCCUAAGGCCGAGGAGCCAAAGGAGGAAUCCGCUUGAGGGGGGGCUCGCGUCUGUUUCGUUAGUUGGUGAGGCAAUGGUUUACCAAGGCGACGAUCAAUAGCUGGUCCGAGAGGAGAAUCAGCGACACUGGGGCUGGGACACAGCCCAGAGUCCUCCGUGGGGCGGUGGUGUGGAGUGUACCGCAAUAUGCGGAAGAGUCAGAUCACUCUGCGGCGUGAAAGCAGAAGGGGCAGUAGUGAUGAACUGCUUUUUUCGGAGUAGUAAAAAUGACAGUAUCUGAGGAAUAAGCAUCGGCUAACUCUGUG
RNAcentral lists this ribosomal RNA (437 nucleotides) under uncultured bacterium. RNAcentral's name for it is "partial 16S ribosomal RNA". It matches the Rfam family "Bacterial small subunit ribosomal RNA", at positions 28 to 507 of the family's 1533-position model. The record is from RNAcentral.